GUAGGGAAUCUUCCGCAAUGGACGCAAGUCUGACGGAGCAACGCCGCGUGAGUGACGAAGGUUUUCGGAUCGUAAAACUCUGUUGUGAGGGAAGAACACGUACCAACUAACUAUUGGUACCUUGACGGUACCUCACCAGAAAGCCACGGCUAACUACGUGCCAGCAGCCGCGGUAAUACGUAGGUGGCAAGCGUUGUCCGGAAUUAUUGGGCGUAAAGCGCGCGCAGGCGGUUCCUUAAGUCUGAUGUGAAAGCCCACGGCUCAACCGUGGAGGGUCAUUGGAAACUGGGGAACUUGAGUGCAGAAGAGGAAAGUGGAAUUCCACGUGUAGCGGUGAAAUGCGUAGAGAUGUGGAGGAACACCAGUGGCGAAGGCGACUUUCUGGUCUGUAACUGACGCUGAGGCGCGAAAGCGUGGGGAGCAAACAGGAUUAGAUACCCUUGUAGUCC
RNAcentral lists this ribosomal RNA (449 nucleotides) under uncultured bacterium. RNAcentral's name for it is "partial 16S ribosomal RNA". It matches the Rfam family "Bacterial small subunit ribosomal RNA", at positions 354 to 796 of the family's 1533-position model. The record is from RNAcentral.